UCCCUGGCAGACCAGUGGUUAAGGCUUCGCACUUCCACUGCAGGGAGCCCAGGUUCAAUCCCUGGUCAGGGAA
Molecule: transfer RNA, 73 nt
Filed under: Ovis aries (sheep)
Lineage: Eukaryota; Metazoa; Chordata; Mammalia; Artiodactyla; Bovidae
Rfam family: tRNA
About the family: Transfer RNA (tRNA) molecules are approximately 80 nucleotides in length. Their secondary structure includes four short double-helical elements and three loops (D, anti-codon, and T loops). Further hydrogen bonds mediate the characteristic L-shaped molecular structure. tRNAs have two regions of fundamental functional importance: the anti-codon, which is responsible for specific mRNA codon recognition, and the 3' end, to which the tRNAs corresponding amino acid is attached (by aminoacyl-tRNA synthetases). tRNAs cope with the degeneracy of the genetic code in two manners: having more than one tRNA (with a specific anti-codon) for a particular amino acid; and 'wobble' base-pairing, i.e. permitting non-standard base-pairing at the 3rd anti-codon position.
Source: Rfam by way of RNAcentral